Molecule: small RNA, 449 nt
Filed under: Histoplasma capsulatum
Lineage: Eukaryota; Fungi; Ascomycota; Eurotiomycetes; Onygenales; Ajellomycetaceae
Also listed under: 1 other name
Description: hypothetical RNA
Source: RNAcentral
GCAAUGAGCCAACGUGGGUAGGGCUCAACUGAAAAAAACUGCGUACCCACGGAUGCCAUUUGCAUAAAUCUCUCAGACAAGCAUACCGCCCAAGUGUCCAGUGUCCAUCCCAAGGAAUUCAUGGAGUCACGAAACGACGCGGACGCCAUCUUCCGCGAUAGCCGUUUCUGAAACAGACGUCCAUCGUUUUCAAAUCCGCCCACACCCCCCCAUUUUUCCGCAUACAUAGCUCUCUAAAUAACCCCCAUCCAAACGUCAGGAAAUAAAUAGAUCAUGACUGCUGAAAGCAUACCUUACGCAUUACGUUCAACCCAUCGCUCCAUUGGAAACGGAAACUACAAGAGCACAACAUAAGAAACAGCGACCCUGGAGAUUCUCUCAUACCAUGGGCCCACACAGCGCCAUGCUCAAUAACUCAGUAAAACAGUCUGCAUGUCGGGUUUUCCAUG